RNAcentral lists this unclassified non-coding RNA (1875 nucleotides) under Hevea brasiliensis (rubber tree). The record is from RNAcentral. Lineage: Eukaryota; Viridiplantae; Streptophyta; Magnoliopsida; Malpighiales; Euphorbiaceae.
UAAUUAUUGCUUUACAUAUGUUCGCCCCCAAACCCUAAAGACAAUAGUUGCAAUGGCUAAUUUGCUAUGCAAGUCACUCCAAACACAUCUUUGUUGCCCUUAUUAAAGCACCAAAAUAAAAAUUUGGAUGGUUUCUUUCACUUUUGUACUUUGGAUUUAUUUUUUAUUUGAUUGAGAAUGGUGACUUUAGGACUUGAGAAAAAAAGAGUUUUGCCAAAGACGAAGUUUCUGGUUUGAAAUGAACUCAUGAUUGCUGAAGUUUUGUAAGCCAUUUAUUCAUAACUAGUUGAUUGUUUGAUCAGUAAUUGAAACAUCUUUUUGAAAGCCAUUCAGAAGGCCUCUUUUAAAUCUUCAAAAUAACCCUCUUCCCCCUUUAAUGAAAGAUUUUCCCAAUACUCAAAAUUGUAUUGUACCUCCAUGUGAAAUCCUUCUCUUGCCUAGAUUUUGAAGAAUACAGUACCCAUCAUGAAUGUGAGCCGCAAUCUUAACAACACUGUAGCUUUAGCUGUUGCCUUAUGUAUCUUGUCCAUCUGCUCCACUUGACAUGCAAUGCAUGAUAACUUUGCAAUUUUUUUUUGAUUGUUCAUGAAAAUUGGUAAAAUACUUUGCCUUAUGGAAUUUAUUCUGUAUGAAACUUCUUAUUUAUAUCUCUUCAGCCUUCUUUCCUGGAUUGACAGUACCUUUUCUAAAAGAUGUCUCCAUGACAACAUGAUUCUUGUCCUCUUUUUUUAACAUUUUAGUAAUUAAGUUGUUAGUUUGAGCAUAAAACUUUGGAACAGCAUCACUUGUUUAAUCUUGUUAGCCUCUUGCCUUCUUGGCAUCAUGGGAUUUGGGUUUCAUUGUUUGUUCUCCCUAUUUUACAAUUAAAAAUACUUAAAAUUGUAAUAGAGCUUUAUCUCUCAGCCAAGUUUCUCUAGUCCAUACUCUGUCCUAUUUAGGGCUUCAUCUGUUAUUAAAUCUGGGCUGUUGUCAGUCUUCUCAUAUUCUUGGUCCGCAUGCCUCUUUUCAUCUUUCCUCUUCGGAACUUAAUUUUCUGUAUAUUUGAAUUUAGCUUAAAGAAUUUUUUGUUGCUCGCUCGGUUUUGGGAAGAUAUUGCCAGACUAUCAAUUUGGCUGUAUGAAUCACUUUUACAAUCUCUACCAUUUUCUGGUGAUUUAGCAAGGAAUAACUGAUAGCUUCAUGCUAUCUGUACGUACAGUUGAUGAUUUCUCUACUUAUGGGGUUUCAAUUUCAACUUUGAAGGCAUUAUCAAUCCUACUUUGUAUCCUUCAUGUCUUGGUUGGUGUCAGACUGGCACAGAAAUUUGCGCUUAAUUUUUUGAUCAGUUUCUUUGGAACUCAAUAAUUAGGAAGAGAAAAGUACCUGCAGAUGUGAUGAUUUAUGUUCUUAGACAUCCAUAGCGCAUGUGAAAGUGCUUUAAUCUUUAGGUGCAACACGUGCAUUGACCAAUUCUUUUGGUAUUCAUCUCUUCUUUUCUUCAGUUGCCUUCUCAAUUCGAUCCUACAUUUAUGUUGUGUACCCUGAAUGCAGUGCAUAGGCUUGUGCUAGGGGGGUUGUGUGACUCAAGGUUCUUUCCUCUGAGAGAGAGAGAUUUUAAUUUACCUAAUCUCCUGUUCUGAUAUGUCAAGAUUGUUUAUGGUCUGACCAUAUGCCAAGGCUCUGCUAUUUUUAUUAAUUCACAUAAAUGGCUCAAAUUUGUCACCUGGAAUGUUAAUCAUGAUCAAAGCUGGGAUGCUUUAUCAAGAUAAUUGUGAUCUGCGUUUUCUGCUCCUUUCAAAUUUAAGUUUCACUUUCUGCUUUCAGCUAUUGGUGUUUCAAUCGCAAACAUUGCUUAAUUUCUGCAAGGAUCACUUCUGAUGCGCUGAUUAUAUGGAC